This 468-nucleotide ribosomal RNA is filed under the name uncultured bacterium. Its description in RNAcentral is "partial 16S ribosomal RNA". It matches the Rfam family "Bacterial small subunit ribosomal RNA", at positions 28 to 507 of the family's 1533-position model. The record is from RNAcentral.
GACGAACGCUGGCGGCGUGCUUAACACAUGCAAGUCGAACGGAAAGGCCCUGCUUUUGUGGGGUGCUCGAGUGGCGAACGGGUGAGUAACACGUGAGUAACCUGCCCUUGACUUUGGGAUAACUUCAGGAAACUGGGGCUAAUACCGGCUAGGAGCUCCUGCUGCAUGGUGGGGGUUGGAACGUUUCGGCGGAUGGGGAUGGACUGGCGGCUUAUCAGCUUGUUGGUGGGGUAGGGGCUUACCAAGGCUUUGACGGGUAGCCGGCCUGAGAGGGUGACCGGCCACAUGGGGACUGAGAUACGGCCCAGACUCCUACGGGAGACAGCAGUGGGGAAUAUUGCACAAUGGGCGGAAGCCUGAUGCAGCAACGCCGCGUGCGGGAUGACGGCCUUCGGGUUGUAAACCGCUUUCGCCUGUGACGAAGCGUGAGUGACGGUAAUGGGUAAAGAAGCACCGGCUAACUACGUG